UGCCUGGCCGCCCAUCGUCUGGGAUGUGAGGAGCCUCUCUGCCUGGCUGCCCAGUCUGGAAAGUGAGGAGCGUCUGCGCCCGGCCGCCAUCCCAUCUAGGAAGUGAGGAGCGUCUCUGCCCGGCCGCCCCGUCUGAGAAGUGAGGAGACCCUCUGCCUGGCAACCACCCCGUCUGAGAAGUGAGGAGACCCUCCGACCGGCAGCUGCCCCGUCUGAGAAGUGAGGAGCCUCUCCACCCGG
RNAcentral lists this long non-coding RNA (240 nucleotides) under Homo sapiens (human). RNAcentral's name for it is "HSALNT0308161". The record is from RNAcentral. Lineage: Eukaryota; Metazoa; Chordata; Mammalia; Primates; Hominidae.